ACUCCUACGGGAGGCAGCAGUGGGGAAUAUUGGACAAUGGGCGAAAGCCUGAUCCAGCAAUGCCGCGUGAGUGAUGAAGGCCCUAGGGUUGUAAAGCUCUUUUACCCGGGAAGAUAAUGACUGUACCGGGAGAAUAAGCCCGGCUAACUCCGUGCCAGCAGCCGCGGUAAUACGGAGGGGGCUAGCGUUGUUCGGAAUUACUGGGGCGUAAAGCGCACGUAGGCGGCUUUGUAAGUCAGAGGUGAAAGCCUGGAGCUCAACUCCAGAACUGCCUUUGAGACUGCAUCGCUUGAAUCCAGGAGAGGUCAGUGGAAUUCCGAGUGUAGAGGUGAAAUUCGUAGAUAUUCGGAAGAACACCAGUGGCGAAGGCGGCGUGACGUGACGUGGUAUUGACGCUGGAGGUGACGAAGCGGUGGGAGACAAACGAGGUAUUAGAC
RNAcentral lists this ribosomal RNA (437 nucleotides) under uncultured bacterium. Its description in RNAcentral is "bacterial SSU rRNA". It matches the Rfam family "Bacterial small subunit ribosomal RNA", at positions 335 to 783 of the family's 1533-position model. The record is from RNAcentral.